Molecule: long non-coding RNA, 162 nt
Filed under: Dasypus novemcinctus (nine-banded armadillo)
Lineage: Eukaryota; Metazoa; Chordata; Mammalia; Cingulata; Dasypodidae
Description: lncRNA (ENSDNOG00000052019.1)
Source: RNAcentral
GGACCUAAUAGGAACUGACAAACAAGAGACAACAAGAACAAACAAGAAAGUUCUCAAGUGCCCUGUGGAAUUGGCCAAGGAGAUUUGCAGCACAGCAGGCCAAGCCUGCACAGCUGAAGAGCAGUGGAAGAUGGCACUUUUAUCUGAAGCUUGUGGACCCCU